This is a non-coding RNA of Habropoda laboriosa, 74 nucleotides long. NCBI's taxonomy places the organism in Eukaryota, Metazoa, Arthropoda, Insecta, Hymenoptera, Apidae. The record is from Rfam.
GGAGCGAUUGGCGUAGCGCGCUAAGCCUCGGCUUGCUAAGCCGAAGGUCCCGGGUUCGAUUCCCGUUGGGUCCC